This 429-nucleotide ribosomal RNA is filed under the name Chloroflexota bacterium. RNAcentral's name for it is "Chloroflexi bacterium partial 16S ribosomal RNA". It matches the Rfam family "Bacterial small subunit ribosomal RNA", at positions 355 to 776 of the family's 1533-position model. Lineage: Bacteria; Bacillati; Chloroflexota. The record is from RNAcentral.
UGGGGAAUAUUGCACAAUGGGCGCAAGCCUGAUGCAGCCAUGCCGCGUGUAUGAAGAAGGCCUUCGGGUUGUAAAGUACUUUCAGCGGGGAGGAAGGGAGUAAAGUUAAUACCUUUGCUCAUUGACGUUACCCGCAGAAGAAGCACCGCCUAACUCCGUGCCAGCAGCCGCGGUAAUACGGAGGGUGCAAGCGUUAAUCGGAAUUACUGGGCGUAAAGCGCACGCAGGCGGUUUGUUAAGUCAGAUGUGAAAUCCCCGGGCUCAACCUGGGAACUGCAUCUGAUACUGGCAAGCUUGAGUCUCGUAGAGGGGGGUAGAAUUCCAGGUGUAGCGGUGAAAUGCGUAGAGAUCUGGAGGAAUACCGGUGGCGAAGGCGGCCCCCUGGACAAAGACUGACGCUCAGGUGCGAAAGCGUGGGGAGCAAACAGG